Molecule: non-coding RNA, 793 nt
Organism: Callithrix jacchus (white-tufted-ear marmoset)
Lineage: Eukaryota; Metazoa; Chordata; Mammalia; Primates; Cebidae
Source: RefSeq, a predicted model, not a curated record
ACCACGGAGGGUGAUGAAGAGAAGAAGAAGGUUCCUGCUGUGCCAGAAACCCUUAAGAAAAAGUGAAGGAGAGAGCUGAAGAUCAACUGCCUGAGAAAGAAGUUUGCCUAAAACAUGCUUUGAAAGGCAAGAAGGAAGCUUAUCUAUGAAAAAGUGAAGCCCUAUCACAAACAACAUAGGCAGAUGUACAGAACUGAAAUUCGAAUGGCGAGGAUGGAAAGAAAAGCUGGCAACUUCUAUGUACCUGCGGAACCCAAAUUGGCCUUUGUCAUCAGGAUCAGUGGUAUCAAUGGCGUGAGCCCAAAGGCCAGAAAGGUGUUGCGGCUUCUUUGCUUUCGUCAAAUCUUCAAUGGAACCUUUGUGAAGCUCAGCAAGGCUUUAGUUAACAUGCUGAGGAUUGUAGAACCAUAUAUUGCAUGGGGGACCCAAAUCUGAAGUCAGUAAAUGAACUAAUCUACAAGUGUGGUUAUGGCAAAAUCAGUAAGAAGCAAAUUGCUUUGACAGAUAACGCUUUGAUUGCUUGACCUCUUGGUAAAUUUGCACGGAGGAUCUGAUUCAUGGGAUCUACACUGUUGGAAAAUGCUUCAAAGAAGCAAGUAACUUCUGUGGUCCUUCAAAUUAUCUUCCCCACAAGGUGGAAUGAAGAAAAAGACCCAUUCAUUUUGUAGAAGGUGGAGAUGCUGGCAACAGGGAGGAUCAGAUCAACAGGCUUCUUAGAAGAAUGAACUGAGGUGUCUACCAUGAUUAUUUUUCUAAGCUGGUUGGUUAAUAAACAGUAUCUGCUCUCAAACUG